GAACGCUGGCGGCAGGCUUAACACAUGCAAGUCGAGCGGGCGUAGCAAUACGUCAGCGGCAGACGGGUGAGUAACGCGUGGGAACAUACCUUUUGGUUCGGAACAACACAGGGAAACUUGUGCUAAUACCGGAUAAGCCCUUACGGGGAAAGAUUUAUCGCCGAAAGAUUGGCCCGCGUCUGAUUAGCUAGUUGGUGAGGUAACGGCUCACCAAGGCGACGAUCAGUAGCUGGUCUGAGAGGAUGAUCAGCCACAUUGGGACUGAGACACGGCCCAAACUCCUACGGGAGGCAGCAGUGGGGAAUAUUGGACAAUGGGCGAAAGCCUGAUCCAGCCAUGCCGCGUGAGUGAUGAAGGCCCUAGGGUCGUAAAGCUCUUUUGUGCGGGAAGAUAAUGACGGUACCGCAAGAAUAAGCCCCGGCUACUUCGUGCCAGCAGCCGCGGUAAUACGAAGGGGGCUAGCGUUGCUCGGAAUCACUGGGCGUAAAGGGUGCGUAGGCGGGUCUUUAAGUCAGGGGUGAAAUCCUGGAGCUCAACUCCAGAACUGCCUUUGAUAAUGAGGAUCUUGAGUUCGGGAGAGGUGAGUGGAACUGCGAGUGUAGAGGUGAAAUUCGUAGAUAUUCGCAAGAACACCAGUGGCGAAGGCGGCUCACUGGCCCGAUACUGACGCUGAGGCACGAAAGCGUGGGGA
RNAcentral lists this ribosomal RNA (691 nucleotides) under uncultured soil bacterium. Its description in RNAcentral is "bacterial SSU rRNA". It matches the Rfam family "Bacterial small subunit ribosomal RNA", at positions 31 to 767 of the family's 1533-position model. The record is from RNAcentral.